GCCGCCAUGGUGAAAUCGGUAGACACGCUGCUCUUAGGAAGCAGUGCUAAAGCAUCUCGGUUCGAGUCCGAGUGGCGGCA
Molecule: transfer RNA, 80 nt
Organism: Ananas comosus (pineapple)
Lineage: Eukaryota; Viridiplantae; Streptophyta; Magnoliopsida; Poales; Bromeliaceae
Rfam family: tRNA
About the family: Transfer RNA (tRNA) molecules are approximately 80 nucleotides in length. Their secondary structure includes four short double-helical elements and three loops (D, anti-codon, and T loops).
Source: Rfam